GAUUCGGUUGGUACAUCAUUAUAGUUCGGUCGGCACAGUUCCCUCAGAAGUCGGCCCAGGACGCACAUUCCCCCAGGGCGUGAGUCGUGACGUUGCCCACAUACGUGAGGCCGACAACGGCAAGCCCUAUCACCACCACCACCACCUGGUACAUCAUUACCAUACUAUCGGUUUGAAUCGGCGGACAAGCAACUACUAACCACGCGGGAGGAGGUUCGCCAGCUGCCACUAGCGCACCUGAGCCCGAUGAAUGCACCUCUUAGCCAGCCAGACACCAGCUGCACAGCAGAACCAGUUUAAAGCGAACCAACGGAGAGGAAUGCCACAGCUCUCCAUGGCACGGCCUCAGCCCACACCACAGGGCCAAAUGAGACCAUCCGCACGGCCCUACCCAGUGCAGGAGUAUCCAGUGGGUCAACUGGGAACCAUUGGACAAUUACCGAUACCACAAGCUUACUCCAGGCCACUAUCGUCCCUCACUCCACGGCCACGUCCUCCUAGGAAUCCUGCCACGAAAACUUUUUACAGAGUCAAGUACGCCCGUGCACAUUCAAUCCACACCUAGAACGGGGACUUUGUGAACGGCUGAAUACGUCAACCAUAGUCGCUGAAACGAACAUGAACCGGACUGCAAUUGACAAUAUAAUAACGCUAACAUUCA
Long non-coding RNA from Ornithodoros turicata, 661 nucleotides. RefSeq lists it as uncharacterized. The record is from RefSeq and is a predicted model, not a curated record. NCBI's taxonomy places the organism in Eukaryota, Metazoa, Arthropoda, Arachnida, Ixodida, Argasidae. The transcript is spliced from 2 exons.